This 1695-nucleotide ribosomal RNA is filed under the name Salmonella enterica. Its description in RNAcentral is "partial 23S ribosomal RNA". The record is from RNAcentral. Lineage: Bacteria; Pseudomonadati; Pseudomonadota; Gammaproteobacteria; Enterobacterales; Enterobacteriaceae.
GAAGGUGGCCUGUGAGGGUUGCUGGAGGUAUCAGAAGUGCGAAUGCUGACAUAAGUAACGAUAAAGCGGGUGAAAAGCCCGCUCGCCGGAAGACCAAGGGUUCCUGUCCAACGUUAAUCGGGGCAGGGUGAGUCGACCCCUAAGGCGAGGCCGAAAGGCGUAGUCGAUGGGAAACGGGUUAAUAUUCCCGUACUUGGUGUUACUGCGAAGGGGGGACGGAGAAGGCUAUGUUGGCCGGGCGACGGUUGUCCCGGUUUAAGCGUGUAGGUGUGUGUUCCAGGUAAAUCCGGUUCACUUUAACACUGAGGCGUGAUGACGAGGCACUACGGUGCUGAAGCAACAAAUGCCCUGCUUCCAGGAAAAGCCUCUAAGCAUCAGGUAACAUCAAAUCGUACCCCAAACCGACACAGGUGGUCAGGUAGAGAAUACCAAGGCGCUUGAGAGAACUCGGGUGAAGGAACUAGGCAAAAUGGUGCCGUAACUUCGGGAGAAGGCACGCUGACAYGUAGGUGAAGUGAUUUACUCAYGGAGCUGAAGUCAGUCGAAGAUACCAGCUGGCUGCAACUGUUUAUUAAAAACACAGCACUGUGCAAACACGAAAGUGGACGUAUACGGUGUGACGCCUGCCCGGUGCCGGAAGGUUAAUUGAUGGGGUCAGCGCAAGCGAAGCUCCUGAUCGAAGCCCCGGUAAACGGCGGCCGUAACUAUAACGGUCCUAAGGUAGCGAAAUUCCUUGUCGGGUAAGUUCCGACCUGCACGAAUGGCGUAAUGAUGGCCAGGCUGUCUCCACCCGAGACUCAGUGAAAUUGAACUCGCUGUGAAGAUGCAGUGUACCCGCGGCAAGACGGAAAGACCCCGUGAACCUUUACUAUAGCUUGACACUGAACAUUGAGCCUUGAUGUGUAGGAUAGGUGGGAGGCUUUGAAGUGUGGACGCCAGUCUGCAUGGAGCCGACCUUGAAAUACCACCCUUUAAUGUUUGAUGUUCUAACGUGGACCCGUAAUCCGGGUUGCGGACAGUGUCUGGUGGGUAGUUUGACUGGGGCGGUCUCCUCCUAAAGAGUAACGGAGGAGCACGAAGGUUGGCUAAUCCUGGUCGGACAUCAGGAGGUUAGUGCAAUGGCAUAAGCCAGCUUGACUGCGAGCGUGACGGCGCGAGCAGGUGCGAAAGCAGGUCAUAGUGAUCCGGUGGUUCUGAAUGGAAGGGCCAUCGCUCAACGGAUAAAAGGUACUCCGGGGAUAACAGGCUGAUACCGCCCAAGAGUUCAUAUCGACGGCGGUGUUUGGCACCUCGAUGUCGGCUCAUCACAUCCUGGGGCUGAAGUAGGUCCCAAGGGUAUGGCUGUUCGCCAUUUAAAGUGGUACGCGAGCUGGGUUUAGAACGUCGUGAGACAGUUCGGUCCCUAUCUGCCGUGGGCGCUGGAGAACUGAGGGGGGCUGCUCCUAGUACGAGAGGACCGGAGUGGACGCAUCACUGGUGUUCGGGUUGUCAUGCCAAUGGCACUGCCCGGUAGCUAAAUGCGGAAGAGAUAAGUGCUGAAAGCAUCUAAGCACGAAACUUGCCCCGAGAUGAGUUCUCCCUGAGACUUAGAGUCUCCUGAAGGAACGUUGAAGACGACGACGUUGAUAGGCCGGGUGUGUAAGCGCAGCGAUGCGUUGAGCUAACCGGUACUAAUGAACCGUGAGGCUUAACCUU